Molecule: small RNA, 910 nt
Filed under: Pan troglodytes (chimpanzee)
Lineage: Eukaryota; Metazoa; Chordata; Mammalia; Primates; Hominidae
Description: retained intron
Source: RNAcentral
UGCCCAGGAGCAGGUGCGGCUCAGAGCCCAGGUGCACCUGCUUGAGACCCGGGUCAAACAGCAACAGGUCAAGAUCAAGCAGCUUUUGCAGGAGAAUGAAGUCCAGUUCCUUGAUAAAGGAGAUGAGAAUACUGUCAUUGAUCUUGGAAGCAAGAGGCAGUAUGCAGAUUGUUCAGAGAUUUUCAAUGAUGGGUAUAAGCUCAGUGGAUUUUACAAAAUCAAACCUCUCCAGAGCCCAGCAGAAUUUUCUGUUUAUUGUGACAUGUCCGAUGGAGGAGGAUGGACUGUAAUUCAGAGACGAUCUGAUGGCAGUGAAAACUUUAACAGAGGAUGGAAAGACUAUGAAAAUGGCUUUGGAAAUUUUGUCCAAAAACAUGGUGAAUAUUGGCUGGGCAAUAAAAAUCUUCACUUCUUGACCACUCAAGAAGACUACACUUUAAAAAUCGACCUUGAAGAUUUUGAAAAAAAUAGCCGUUAUGCACAAUAUAAGAAUUUCAAAGUUGGAGAUGAAAAGAAUUUCUACGAGUUGAAUAUUGGGGAAUAUUCUGGAACAGCUGGAGAUUCCCUUGCGGGGAAUUUUCAUCCUGAGGUGCAGUGGUGGGCUAGUCACCAAAGAAUGAAAUUCAGCACGUGGGACAGAGAUCAUGACAACUAUGAAGGGAACUGCGCAGAAGAAGAUCAGUCUGGCUGGUGGUUUAACAGGUUUGAUGUCUUACGAGCAUAGUUGUAAUGGAGUUGAUGAUAUCUCACUGAUAGACAUUAAUUAUCAAUAUAAUAUGUAUGGUAAUGUUAGUCUUUAUUUAUAAUAUUAGUAUUAUUAAGUAAUCAUUCUCAGAAUUCUUCAGCAAUGAAGUCGUUUUGAGGAUUUGUUCAUUGUGUACAUUAGUAAAGUUUAAAUGUCAUAGAAAUA